AUAAUCAAAUAUUUCGAUUUCUCAUAGUUACAUGUCACCUCUCGCAAGUCACAGGACUCGUCGUGACUCGAGUCGCUUCCUUCCCUCUUGCUUGCAGUCUCCGCCCAUUUUUGUAGCACAGAAAAAAAAAAAACUAAUUUUCAUUUUUCAAUUCAAAGUCUGUGACUCUCAUCGAUCCAUAUAACACAACAAAACAACAAAAUUUAACACGGAAAAAAAAAGGAAUGUGUAAGCAAGUAUCCAAGAGAAUAGAAGAAAACCGAGCUUACUGAGUUACUUGGAGCUCCGAGACCUUUCGAAGAUCGAAUUAGCGGAAGAAAACAAAACUUCAGCUAACAAGAAAUCCCGAGAAGUCGAAGCGAGAGGGGCGGUGUGCACUCGAGUAGGGUGAGCAAAAUGUGGAGAUCUAAAGCGGGUCUUGUGAGCUUGUGGCAUAGCGGCAUGGUGGAUGUUUUGCAUAAUGUAGAUCGUUAGGGUUUCGUAUGGUAUGGGUCUUAGAAUUUGAGCAGUGGUGUUAGGAUUUCUUAUGGCAUGGACCCUUGAAUUUGUAGAUCGUUAGGGUUUCGGGUAUGAAGAAGAAGAAGGAUAUCGCCAGAGAGAUGAGGCGGCUGACCAUGGAUUUAGGAGUUAGGGAAUUUUAUGUUUAUGUUGAUUUAGGGUUUCUUGCUUUUGC
This 673-nucleotide long non-coding RNA is filed under the name Citrus sinensis (sweet orange). RNAcentral's name for it is "long non-coding RNA (CSIN_LNC000997)". The record is from RNAcentral. Lineage: Eukaryota; Viridiplantae; Streptophyta; Magnoliopsida; Sapindales; Rutaceae.